UCCGGUUGAUCCUGCCGGACCUGACUGCUAUCGGAUUGAUACUAAGCCAUGCGAGUCAUUGUAGCAAUACAAGGCAGACGGCUCAGUAACGCGUAGUCAACCUAACCUAUGGACGGGAAUAACCUCGGGAAACUGAGAAUAAUGCCCGAUAGAACAUUAUGCCUGGAAUGGUUUAUGUUCCAAAUGAUUUAUCGCCGUAGGAUGGGACUGCGGCCUAUCAGUUUGUUGGUGAGGUAAUGGCCCACCAAGACUAUUACAGGUACGGGCUCUGAGAGGAGUAGCCCGGAGAUGGGUACUGAGACACGGACCCAGGCCCUAUGGGGCGCAGCAGGCGAGAAAACUUUGCAAUGUGCGAAAGCACGACAAGGUUAAUCCGAGUGGUUUCUGCUAAAGGAACCUUUUGUCGGUCCUAGAAACACCGAUGAAUAAGGGGUGGGCAAGUUCUGGUGUCAGCCGCCGCGGUAAAACCAGCACCUCAAGUGGUCAGGAUGAUUAUUGGGCCUAAAGCAUCCGUAGCCUGCUUUGUUAGUUUUCGGUUAAAUCUGUACGCUCAACGUACAGGCUGCCGGGAAUACUGCAAAGCUAGGGAGUGGGAGAGGUAGACGGUACUCGGUAGGAAGGGGUAAAAUCCUUUGAUCUAUUGAUGACCACCUGUGGCGAAGGCGGUCUACCAGAACACGUCCGACGGUGAGGGAUGAAAGCUGGGGGAGCAAACCGGAUUAGAUACCCGGGUAGUCCCAGCCGUAAACCAUGCAAACUCAGUGAUGCAUUGGCUUGUGGCCAAUGCAGUGCUGCAGGGAAGCCGUUAAGUUUGCCGCCUGGGAAGUACGUACGCAAGUAUGAAACUUAAAGGAAUUGGCGGGGGGAGCACCCACAAGGGGUGAAGCCUGCGGUUCAAUUGGAGUCAACGCCCGG
RNAcentral lists this ribosomal RNA (915 nucleotides) under uncultured archaeon. RNAcentral's name for it is "bacterial SSU rRNA". It matches the Rfam family "Archaeal small subunit ribosomal RNA", at positions 1 to 922 of the family's 1478-position model. The record is from RNAcentral.